RNAcentral lists this long non-coding RNA (3967 nucleotides) under Trifolium pratense (red clover). RNAcentral describes it as "long non-coding RNA (TPRA_LNC002846)". Lineage: Eukaryota; Viridiplantae; Streptophyta; Magnoliopsida; Fabales; Fabaceae. The record is from RNAcentral.
CACAAUAGAUCAACCCACAAAUAAAUUAAAGGUAGUGUGAAUUUUGAGAAUCUUAAAAGUGACAACCAUUAUGUCAUACAACAAUAACACUAAGAAAAAAAACUAAGUAUAUGUCUAACAAAUCGAAAGUAAAGUCUACACCAAAAAACUAUCAAAACCAAACAUAUAAUUUGUAAGACAAAAUCGUGACGACGGUGUUUGCAUAGUGUUGAUUACUACAUGUCUUGAUAACUUACGAAGCAUCCCUUUUACAAGUUGCAUUUCUUUUGAUCUUCCUUUCCUGUCAUGCAACACAAGUAUAGCCCUAUAACAUCAUUAUAAGUUACUCAAAUAAAUUAACUUUAUUAGGUUCAACUCAAACUUCCAUAUAUUCAAUGGACAUUAACGGUUUCAUGAUCUACUAAUUACCGUGUUCUACAUAUAUAAAGCAACUACCCUUUUUACUAUCAAAUUUCUUAAGAUGUUAUCAAUUACAGUUUGUAUUGGAGCAAUAAUUAAUAUGGUAUAUUAUUAAAAUUGAAGGUUGCAAAGAGUACCAUAAUAGACACUUGUACUUUUAGGCACUUUCAAAUCAUCAGUAACAACCUGGAAAUUAUACACAAAAGUGGCUAAAUUAAUCAUGAGGCAAUUCAAAGAGUAAAAACAAAUUUCAAACUCAAGGGAAUACAACCAAAGUGAUUCUCAAUGAAAUACAACAGUUCAUGAUAUAGGUAGGGCAGAAAAAAGGAAAAUACAACCUAUAUAUAUAUAUAUACACCACCCAAACCAAACCAAACCAGCACCUGCAACUAAGCCACACAACUCGGACGAACAAGUCACCGAGUCAAAAGAACCAGCAUAUCAUAUAUACUAGGAUGAAGGAGAAACAAGAGAAAAAAGAGCAGUGGUCCAGCCGAGGCAAGGACGAAGAGAUGGGUGGUAGUCAUAAAGCACCAGUACAAAAGUAUGUUUGGAAGAAGGUUAGGGAAAAUGACAUAAAAACAUGCUCAAAAGAGUGAAAUAUGGGAUCCAAAACCAAUUAGGUCCUCGGGUCAGGAUUUUAAUAAAUAUGACAGUCUUUCAUAUGGUACAACAUGAUCACACUGAUUAAAAUGAAUAAAAUGCAUGAGGUAAUACCUUUCCAAUUCGCGAAUAAUUUUAAAAGUCGAGCUCAUAAGGAUCGAUUUCCCAAUCACACUUGUUAGGUAACGGUGGAGGAACCUGAGUUCAAAAUGACUCAUGUUAAUUGAACAGAGAGAAAUAAAACGAGAAUAAAAAAAAAUUUAAAAAUUCAGUCUUGUUGAUAUAAUAAAAUUUGCAAACCAAUUAUGAUACAUUAUAUCAAUGACUGUUCAUGAGUCAAGAGUCAUGACAUGUUAUCAUCAAUGAUUUUAAAAAGAUACCCAUCAUCACAUCCUACUAUAUCAUAGUUCUACAAAGGUUAUACAACUUAUGGAAAACUAAAGCUUUUUUUAAAAACAAUGGCAAUGAACCUUAAUAAGCUGGUUAACAAUAAUAUUUUUUAAAAAAAACUUGUUAGCAAUAAUAAGAAAACAAAAGUAGCAAAGGUAGGUUCAUCAAAGUUAAUUGGACAGUCUGAUUUAUAAAAGGCUCCUAUGUAAAGUUCACUCAAGCACAUGAAUAUGAAAGUGAGACAAACCUUGUUUUAUUGUAGGGCUCUGUUGAAAUUACCAGGUUCCACGAACAGACCGGCAAGAUUUGACCAUGCAAUAGCAAAUGUAAGGUUGAAUACACAAUAUCUUGACAUAACAAAUUGUAGAGAAGUAAAGGCCUUUGCAAGUUCAGCAUGGUGCACACAUCUCAUUAGUCAUUCCACACACAAAUAGAAACAUUUAAAAACAAACAAAAAUCAAUAUAAACGCAAAGGAAAUCAAUAUCAACCAUAAAUCCGCCUAAUCUAGACCAAAUACAUAAGGUAAAUGCAUGUAUAUAUACUAUCAUCAAAGGAAAUCUAAUCAAAUUUGAAAGAAUUGACAAAGUCUGAAGUACCAGAGUAGAACAACACAAAGCUUAAGAAAACAGAUGCAUCUUUCAAAAAAAAUUCAUUUGUGAUCAAACCAUUUUUAAAGGGAGCAAAUUUUUACCUUAUCAAAAGCUUCCAUUGAAUUCCUUUUUCUACUACCUAGAGCAGCCUCUGCACAUUGCAAAAAGGAUUAAUCAUCAUAGAAUAAAUUCAUCAACAAUACUACACAUGGUUUCUUAGUAUUCAAUAAAGGCUUGCGACAUAAAAUUGAAAACAACAAAGUUGUUGAGAGAAAAAGGCUUAAUGUGCCUCUUCUUUUUAUAGCAGUGAAGAGAAGGAAAAUUAACAACUUUAGAGAUUGGCAUAUCAAUCCCCAAUUUUAGAAAAAACCAUAGAUCAUAACAAUACCAUCUUCAUAACCAAAUGACAAAGCCAAAUCCCAAAACAAAUAGUCGUGACGGAUUUAUCAUCAAACAAAAGAGUCAUAUACACAUACUCUAGAAACACACAUAUAUAAUCAUGAUUAAUUCAAAAUCAUGUGUAGCAUAUGUACUAUAUUCAUGGUGGUACAAUUGCUUUUACCAAAUCAGACUAAGGUCAUUUUUGUAGAUGGUUUCAAUUUUCAUCUAAAGAUAUAGAAAAAAGGAAGUUAUCUAGUAAAUUUAACUCCUCAUUCAAAGUCCAAUCGUAAGUUACAAGAAUCAUAAAUAAACUACCAAAUCAUAAUAUUAUUCCUUAAGUUUAAGACCACAAAAAUUCUAGGGACAUGAAGUGUCUUUGUAGUAGAUUAGAUAACACUUGUAACAUCUUUAACUAACAAUCAUCACAAAAUUUCAAACAAGAGAAGAACUAGAAAACAAAUAUGCCUUCAAAUAGUUUUCCAUCUGUCCUUGAGUUUCUUCCACCCAUGUCCUGCUUUUAGGUCAGGACAGGUCCUAUAUGGUUUAUCCAAGUUAUAUAUACUCAACUACCUAAGACAAGACCAGAUUGAAUGAACAGAUUCCACCUCAGUCAAUUGGAGAACACAAUAUUUAAAAAACAAAUAAGAAUUAAAUAUAGAUGAAAUUACAAAUGUGUUCAUGAACUCUUACCCUAAAUUGAAACUUGAAAGCUUGCUUUAAUAAUUACAAUCUUUCAUAAGCUUGCUUCCAUGACAAAAACAUAUUUCUAGAAACAAAAACAAAUCGCAACCAAAAUAGCAUGACAAACUAAUCUUUCUUCCAAAUUAGUGAAGAGAAAAAAAACAUAUUUAUAAUAACAAUUAUGUUAAAAUUAAUGAUGAGGAAAAAGUUUACAUGGAGGAGUGUGUAGUUGGUUCCUUCCUGUAACCAACAAACCAAAAACGAUGAUAAAAACAUGCAUCACAAACAAAGUUUGCUAACAAAUAUAAAGUCUUGUUACCAAAAGUUGAACCCCAAAUAUAGAUAUUAUCAACAAAAAUACAAAAAAUUAUGCCAAACAAAAUAAAAUGAUUUACUCCUUGAGAGGCAUUUUAUCAAAUAGAUACAAGACAGUAAGGUGGGUAGAAAAAUCAGAACAAAAUUAAUUUGUAACUCAAAGAUUAUUGUGUUGUCAUCAGUUCAUGUUCAUCUCUUGUUUGACCCAUAAAACGCGAUAUAGAAACAAGCUAAAGAGAAACAACAUGCAAUCAAUCAAUACAUUGGAACGACGGAGAGAUGAAGUUACUACAUACCUUGGAAAUGCAAAGAACGACAGAGAACGGCGGAGGGGUUGUGGUUCUUCGACGGAGUAGGGUUUGAAGGAGAACAACCGAGAGAUUAACGGAUUGUGCUUCCAGAUUAAACAGCGACGGUGGAGAAUAAACGGUGGCGGAGGAGAUUGAACAGCGGAGGAGGAUUGACGGCGGCGUAUUGUGCGAUUAGGUGUCGGAAUCGUCUCACUCAUUUUGCUUUUCGUUUUAGCGAAAUGUUAUGUUUUUGGGAAAAUAUGUGUGUUAAGAAACAAAUUGGUGAAAAAAAAUUAAGAUAUAAAAUUUAAAAUGUU